Molecule: unclassified non-coding RNA, 2554 nt
Filed under: Leishmania donovani
Lineage: Eukaryota; Euglenozoa; Kinetoplastea; Trypanosomatida; Trypanosomatidae
Description: gene:LdHU3.30.4130(CDS-product:homoserine_kinase_ putative)
Source: RNAcentral
GAGUGGCGACGGCGCGUCAAACUUACCGCGUUUUUCUCUUUGUCGUUUGUGGCCAACCCGUCUCGCUUCCUCGCAGACUGGCUGGCGUGCGCACGCAUACGAACGCUACUCUCUUGUCAUCCAACACCGUAGUUCACUGCACCCUCCUUCUCUCCACUCUGCACAAAACCAGAAUCAGCACGCUGCUCCAACAACCAUGUCUGAUGAAGCUGCUACGCCGUACCCAAGAAAGUCAGCCUUCGCGUUCCGGCGACGACGGCAAACAUCGGCCCCGCCUACGACACCCUCGGCAUGGCGCUCUCCAUCUUCAUGGAGCUGACGGUAGAGUUGGCGGAAACCUUCUCCAUGACCGUGACCGGCGAGGGCCAAGAGUACAUCAGCACCGGCGAGGACAAUAUGGUGGUGCAGACCUGUCGAAUCGCGUUCGAGGAGUACGCGCACAAGAGCAUGCCACCACUGAAGUUCACCAUGCACAACAACAUACCGUACAAGUGCGGCUGCGGCUCGUCCUCGGCGGCGGCGGUGGCGGGGUUCGUGGCGGGCAUGACGCUCUCCGGCCUUACAAUGGAGACGCAUAACAACGAGUCGCUGCUCUCCGCCAUCUCGAAGAUCGAGGGUCACUCCGACAACGCUGCCUCGGCUAUCUACGGAGGCAUCCAGCUCGUCUACAAGAAGGACGAUGACAGGGCCAUGACCUACCACGUGCCCACCCCGCCGAACCUUUCCAUCGUGCUAUUCGUGCCGCAUAAGCUCAUGAAGGCCAGCACCCACGUCACCCGUGACUUAGUACCGACGACAGUGUCGCUCCGCGAUGCCGUUCGCAAUAUCUCCGGCACAGCAAUUUUGACUCUGGCCCUCUCGACCGGCGACCUGCGGAUGCUCACGGACGCAAGCGACUGCCUUCACGAGCAGCAACGCUCUCGCAAGCUGUAUCCGCACUACAGCGCGUGCGCGAAGGCCGCGCGCGAGGCCGGUGCCGUGUACGCUUUUCUGUCCGGCGCGGGCCCGAGCGUGUGCGCCAUGGUUCCUGGUCGCCACGGUGAUCUUCUCACCCAGCCGAUGGAAGAACGCAAGGCCGAGGUAGUGGCGGAGGCAAUGGUGAAGGCGGCGGAGGCCGUUGGCGUGCAGGGGCGGGUGAUCAUCACGAUGCCGUCUGACUUCGGUGUGCACCUCUCUGGCACUACCUGUAUCCGUCCGAACAUUCAGUACACCAGCAUCUGAGAAACAACGAGGUAAUUAGACUUGAUGGACAGCAGACAGUAGGCGGUGAUGGAUGGGUGCCAAUGAUCUCUCCAGGAGAUGACGGUUGCACGUAGCGCGGGACGGCGAUCCUCUCUUCCCACAAGACAUCGGCACAGGUGCACAUGGUGUGAGUGUGUGUGUGCGGAGCAGUCCUUCUUCCCUUCUCGCCUCUGUUUCUCUCGCCGCUUCUUCCUCAGUGCUUUGUGUGCCUCCCUCGCUCCUUGAUGACGGGAGGCACGCCGCAACGCGUGGCAUCCUCAUGGCCCCGGGCCGCCCCUCCCCCUAUCCCCCUAUCCCUCCUGCCAGUGCCGAGCCGCCUCGGGUGGUGACAGGGGCACCUACGGCGUGGGAAAGUCAGAGCGAUGCAUGGCUGCUGAUGCCGGUGCUCAGGUCGUAGAUGGCGUUGCGUCGGAGCGACCUGCGGCAGCGAGCGCGUUUGCACCACCCACAUGAUGGGCAGGGUGUCAGCGUGACCCAAGCGUGUCUCGCCCGGCCCUCGCUGCUUACUGGGGGAGAGCUUGGAGCGCCACCCCGAGGGAGAUGCACCGGCGGGGCGGCCGGCAUGAUGGGAGCGGCUGUGAGGUAACCUGCGAGGCAGAGGUGGGUAGAGUACGAGGCAGGGCCCGUGCGCAGGUGGCCGAGCCGGUGCGCUGCCGUAAUGCACGUGCCGGCCGCUGCGUUGCACCGGGCGACGGGGCCUGUGACGUGCCCGGGGGUGGGGGACGAGCAGGGUGAAGUCGAGUUGAUGCUGCAAGGCAAAAGAUGCACUUGUUAGGAAUAUGUUUUUUUCUUCUAUCGUCUUCAGGGUCGCACACCGUCGGAAUAUUUAACGGAGACGUUCAUGUGUGUGUCGGUCAGCAUUCGCGUGCGUCAGCGGUCAUGGCGGGGAGAGGAAGAGAGGAGGUCUCUCUGAGGAGGGAUAGGGGGAAGCUCACAAACUGGCGUCCAUCGACAUGUCCCUCUUGCGCGUAGGGGUGCGCAUUGCGAGCUCAGCGCCAUCCCUGAUCCCACUGCUGUGUAUCUUCCAUCACGCGGGGCAUUCGGCUUUUAACGCCUAGGCCGACGGAAAACCUCGCAUGUGCUUGGUCUUAUUUUUCUUUUUUUUCGGCUUCGACUGAAGCUGCCAUGUUUUCUGUCGCUGAAGCGCGCCCGACCCCUUCCCUUUUCUUGCCCUCCUCCGCAUCGAUGCGCUGUCUGGUUUCCUCUGUGUUCCAUCUAUUAACUCAGCCUCUGCGUGUGUGUAUGUGUUUGCGUGCUUACGGAGGCCAUCGCAUGUCUUGUUGUAGCCUUGAACGCUAAGGAGCGUUCGCCC